GGUCAGCUGACACAUCCCUGCCAUUCUCCGGCAGACCCUCCCUCCCAGACCCUCCUACUUCCUGGACAGCAUCCAUGUUGAAGGCAGCUUCAACAUGGAUGCUGUCCAGGAGGUGGGAGGGUCUGGGAGGGAGGGUCUGCCGGAGAUUGGCAGGGAUGUGUCAGCUG
RNAcentral lists this microRNA precursor (167 nucleotides) under Pelobates cultripes (western spadefoot toad). Lineage: Eukaryota; Metazoa; Chordata; Amphibia; Anura; Pelobatidae. The record is from RNAcentral.